RNAcentral lists this ribosomal RNA (464 nucleotides) under uncultured Glomus. RNAcentral's name for it is "SSU rRNA". It matches the Rfam family "Eukaryotic small subunit ribosomal RNA", at positions 569 to 1038 of the family's 1831-position model. The record is from RNAcentral. Lineage: Eukaryota; Fungi; Glomeromycota; Glomeromycetes; Glomerales; Glomeraceae.
AGCAGCCGCGGUAAUUCCAGCUCCAAUAGCGUAUAUUAAAGUUGUUGCAGUUAAAAAGCUCGUAGUUGAAUUUCGAGACCGGCUUACUGGUCGUGCUAUUGUACGUACUGGUAUAAUCGGUUUCUCCUUUCUGACGAACUUUAAUGCCAUUAAUUUGGUGUUUUAGGGAAUCAGGACUGUUACUUUGAAAAAAUUAGAGUGUUUAAAGCAGGCUCACGCUUGAAUACAUUAGCAUGGAAUAACGGAAUAGGACGUUUGAUUCUAUUUUGUUGGUUUCUAGGAUCGACGUAAUGAUUAAUAGGGAUAGUUGGGGGCAUUAGUAUUCAAUUGUCAGAGGUGAAAUUCUUGGAUUUAUUGAAGACUAACUACUGCGAAAGCAUUUGCCAAGGAUGUUUUCAUUAAUCAAGGACGAAAGUUAGGGGAUCGAAGACGAUCAGAUACCGUCGUAGUCUUAACCAUAAACU